UUGAACAACAGUUGGAUAUGGUCAGUCAGUCGCAAGAGAUAUAUGAGAACUUUUCUGAAGAAAUGGGCAAUGGCCUCUGUUGCCCUUGGCCAAUCGAAAGUAUCACACAGGCCUGUGGCAGAUAUUGACACUAUGUGAAUACUGACUGCCCAGUGCUUUGAAUGUCAAAGUGAAGAAAUUCAAUGAAGCAUGGGUAAAUGGCCAUAGUGAGUAUGACUCUCUUAAUGUAGUCAAAUGCCUCAUCAUCUAACUAGUGACAUGGAAAAUAUAUUCCUACUGUCCAUACCUAUGAUCCAGCAAAUCCAGAGCCAAGGGAAUGAAUGGGCUUGGUUAAAUCAUCAGUGAAAGAAGACCCUGUUGCGCUUGAAUCUAGUCUGGAAUGCUGAAGAGACCUGAGAAGUAUAGAAUAAUGGAGGCCCCCGGUACCUCCCUGUUCCCUGCCAGUUGUUGGGGCAGUGUCUGCCAGCCUUGCAGGCCACUGGUGAAUUACCACUACCUUCCCCAUGAUUUCACUGACCCAGUGAGUGGGAGGUCAAGCCCCCAAGGUUCUCUUGCGUCUAGUGCCAAGCAUUCUUCUGCUAGUGCAGGUAGGUGACCCAUUCUGGGGACAGUGCCAUGUGGUGAGUUUGAAUGGGGUGGUAAACCUGUUAAAGAGUAAAGCUGGUGCUGUAAUGCAAGCUCAAGAAGGUCAGAAAUCCAGAGCAGAGUGCUUAAAGCUUGAUUGAUCUUGAUUUUCAGCACACAUACAGACUGUGAAAGCAGGGCCUCAUGAUCCUUCUGACCUUUUAGGUUUUGAGCAGGAUGGGUUAGAAAAGUUACCACAGUGUUAUAGGAGUCACAGGUUCAGACAUUUGGUGUAUGUGCUUAGCUGAGGUGCCAAUGGGGUGAAGUUACCAUCUGGGGGACUCUGACUGAAUGCCUCUUAAGUCAGAUUUCCACCCAGGCAGAAAGCUGAGCCAGUGCCAAAGGAGCCUGUUAGCCCCAGAGAGCCAAGCUGUGUCCUCCCUGUUCCUGCCGUUCCUGCUGGAAGUCUCUUUGCACUCCCAUGUGUCAAGCAGGUUCCCUACCCUGUGUAUGGAUUGGGGUCCGAUGCAGAGAGACAUUGUUCCUGAGAAACCUGGUGCUCCCAGAAUGGGAGCCACCUUCCUGCUUGUCACACUAAUGUGUGUUCUUGUGGAACCUGGAACUAAGCUACUCACAGCCAUCCUGAUUCUGGGUUGGGGUUUUAUAUAUAGCAGAGCAGCUUCCUCCUUGUGAUCUAUUGAAAUUCAGCCCUCUACACAAGGAUUU
This 1290-nucleotide non-coding RNA is filed under the name Mus musculus (house mouse). RNAcentral describes it as "Eukaryotic large subunit ribosomal RNA". It matches the Rfam family "Eukaryotic large subunit ribosomal RNA", at positions 2065 to 3401 of the family's 3401-position model. The record is from Rfam by way of RNAcentral. Lineage: Eukaryota; Metazoa; Chordata; Mammalia; Rodentia; Muridae.